RNAcentral lists this ribosomal RNA (657 nucleotides) under Oenococcus oeni. RNAcentral's name for it is "bacterial SSU rRNA". It matches the Rfam family "Bacterial small subunit ribosomal RNA", at positions 52 to 676 of the family's 1533-position model. The record is from RNAcentral. Lineage: Bacteria; Bacillati; Bacillota; Bacilli; Lactobacillales; Lactobacillaceae.
UAUAAUGCAGUCGUACGCUAGCCGCUGAAUUGAUCCUUCGGGUGAAGUGAGGCAAUGACUAGAGUGGCGAACUGGUGAGUAACACGUAAGAAACCUGCCCUUUAGUGGGGGAUAACAUUUGGAAACAGAUGCUAAUACCGCGUAACAACAAAUCACACAUGUGAUCUGUUUGAAAGGUCCUUUUGGAUCGCUAGAGGAUGGUCUUGCGGCGUAUUAGCUUGUUGGUAGGGUAGAAGCCUACCAAGGCAAUGAUGCGUAGCCGAGUUGAGAGACUGGCCGGCCACAUUGGGACUGAGACACUGCCCAAACUCCUACGGGAGGCUGCAGUAGGGAAUUUUCCGCAAUGCACGAAAGUGUGACGGAGCGACGCCGCGUGUGUGAUGAAGGCUUUCGGGUCGUAAAGCACUGUUGUAAGGGAAGAAUAACUGAAUUCAGAGAAAGUUUUCAGCUUGACGGUACCUUACCAGAAAGGGAUGGCUAAAUACGUGCCAGCAGCCGCGGUAAUACGUAUGUCCCGAGCGUUAUCCGGAUUUAUUGGGCGUAAAGCGAGCGCAGACGGUUUAUUAAGUCUGAUGUGAAAUCCCGAGGCCCAACCUCGGAACUGCAUUGGAAACUGAUUUACUUGAGUGCGAUAGAGGCAAGUGGAACUCCAUGUGU